UGUACAUAAACCAAAACAUUUAUUUAGAAAAUACAAAAAAUUACUGUUUCUUCAGACUAUCCUUUCAAUUUUCAAUAGUGCCACAUAAUUUUAUAACUAAUUUUUAUUACAUCUGAACACCUCAAAGAGCUGUAGUUUUGAAAUAAAUUUUGCUAUGAUUAAAGAGAGAAAAUCUAUUCAGAAAGUACAGAAUACACGAAUUUACGGUACUUAUCCAAUUACCACCAGCAUAUAAAUUAUUUUGUAAAGUUAUUUCUUACACACAGGAUGUAAAAUGCAAAAAAAAAAAAAAAAUGGAAUUUGUAUUCAAAACAAACAGAAGCAACACUGGCUCCUAUAUGCUAAAAAUAUAAAACAGAUUUUUUUUUUUAAGCAUUCUAGAUACAAAUAUUAACUGUAUGGGCUGAGAACUUUUAAUUUCAAUAUAAUUCAACAAGGUACACAAGUAGAGCUCUAUAAAUAUAUCCCCUAUAAUAACCAUAUGCAAAAUCAUUUUAUCACAAAUACUACCAAACCCUCUGAAAAACAUAAACUACAAACACAUUUUUAAAGAAAUUCUGUUUUAACAACUACAAAAGAAUAUCAAUAAAGCUAUUUGGCUUUAAAAAACGAAGGGCAGUGUAAUGUAAAUCC
Molecule: long non-coding RNA, 633 nt
Filed under: Bos taurus (domestic cattle)
Lineage: Eukaryota; Metazoa; Chordata; Mammalia; Artiodactyla; Bovidae
Description: long non-coding RNA NONBTAT025559
Source: RNAcentral